Molecule: ribosomal RNA, 301 nt
Filed under: uncultured bacterium
Lineage: Bacteria
Description: partial 16S ribosomal RNA
Rfam family: Bacterial small subunit ribosomal RNA
Source: RNAcentral
CAGUCGCCGCGGUAAAACGAAGGGUGCAAGCGUUACUCGGAAUUACUGGGCGUAAAGCGUGUGUAGGUGGUUGUUUAAGUCUGUCGUGAAAGCCCUGGGCUCAACCUGGGAAUUGCGAUGGAUACUGGGCGACUAGAGUGCGGUAGAGGAUAGUGGAAUUUCCGGUGUAGCAGUGAAGUGCGUAGAGAUCGGAAGGAACAUCUGUGGCGAAGGCGACUAUCUGGGCCAACACUGACACUGAGACACGAAAGCGUGGGGAGCAAACAGGAUUAGAUACCCCCGUAGUCCCUGUCUCUUAUAU